RNAcentral lists this ribosomal RNA (547 nucleotides) under Cadophora luteo-olivacea. Its description in RNAcentral is "eukaryotic LSU rRNA". It matches the Rfam family "Eukaryotic large subunit ribosomal RNA", at positions 44 to 594 of the family's 3401-position model. The record is from RNAcentral. Lineage: Eukaryota; Fungi; Ascomycota; Leotiomycetes; Helotiales; Ploettnerulaceae.
CAAUAAGCGGAGGAAAAGAAACCAACAGGGAUUACCUCAGUAACGGCGAGUGAAGCGGUAACAGCUCAAAUUUGAAAGCUAGCUCUUUUAGGGUUCGCAUUGUAAUUUGUAGAAGAUGCUUCGGGUGUGGCCCCGGUCUAAGUUCCUUGGAACAGGACGUCAUAGAGGGUGAGAAUCCCGUAUGUGACUGGGUGCUUUCGCUCAUGUGAAGCUCUUUCGACGAGUCGAGUUGUUUGGGAAUGCAGCUCAAAAUGGGUGGUAAAUUUCAUCUAAAGCUAAAUAUUGGCCAGAGACCGAUAGCGCACAAGUAGAGUGAUCGAAAGAUGAAAAGCACUUUGGAAAGAGAGUUAAACAGUACGUGAAAUUGUUGAAAGGGAAGCGCUUGCAACCAGACUUGCGCGCUGACGAUCAUCCGGGCUUCUGCCCGGUGCACUCGUCUGCGCUCAGGCCAGCAUCGGUUUCGGUGGUGGGAUAAAGGCCUUGGGAAUGUAGCUCCUCUCGGGGAGUGUUAUAGCCCUCGGUGCAAUGCCGCCUACCGGGACCGAGG